Schizosaccharomyces pombe (fission yeast) is the source of this 322-nucleotide non-coding RNA. Lineage: Eukaryota; Fungi; Ascomycota; Schizosaccharomycetes; Schizosaccharomycetales; Schizosaccharomycetaceae. The record is from the annotation of a GenBank genome assembly.
GGAGGGCAAUUGGGGAUUAAAUGAUGUUGAGAUUGGGCUACUUUGAGUUGUUGCUAAAGUAGCUGACACUGCCCUUUUGGGAGUAUAAGCUAGAAACGGAGGAGAUCUCUUUGAGAGAGGUUCUGCAGAUUCUGCAUUACCAUCAAACAAUAUCUCACUAGAUUGCUCUGUUACCGUACUGUCGGCACGAUGGAACUGUGGACGAUCGGUUUUUACAGAAGAGUGCCUUAUAAUAGGUUCAUUCGACCAAAAUGAAACGUUCGAUGGAUUUUUCCUGCUCAGAGGAGGACGUUUCUUCCUUGAAGACUCUCCUUUCUGUCUA